GCCAGCGUGGCACAAUCUGGUACUGCGCAAGCCUGGAAAGCUUGUUUCCGCAAGGAUAUCCCGGUUCAAAACAAAUGUCACGCCAUUUGAGAGGCGGAGCGACUGCACUCACUGCGUUCGCUUAGUCACUUAAAAAUAAAUCGUGACAAUUGCUGAAAGUCCGGGCGCUGGCG
RNAcentral lists this transfer RNA (173 nucleotides) under Nanobdellota archaeon. RNAcentral's name for it is "tRNA-Ser". Lineage: Archaea; Nanobdellati; Nanobdellota. The record is from RNAcentral.